Molecule: ribosomal RNA, 465 nt
Filed under: Vreelandella stevensii
Lineage: Bacteria; Pseudomonadati; Pseudomonadota; Gammaproteobacteria; Oceanospirillales; Halomonadaceae
Description: partial 16S ribosomal RNA
Rfam family: Bacterial small subunit ribosomal RNA
Source: RNAcentral
CCUACGGGAGGCAGCAGUGGGGAAUAUUGGACAAUGGGGGGAACCCUGAUCCAGCCAUGCCGCGUGUGUGAAGAAGGCCCUCGGGUUGUAAAGCACUUUCAGUGAGGAAGAACGCCUGGUGGUUAAUACCCAUCAGGAAAGACAUCACUCACAGAAGAAGCACCGGCUAACUCCGUGCCAGCAGCCGCGGUAAUACGGAGGGUGCGAGCGUUAAUCGGAAUUACUGGGCGUAAAGCGCGCGUAGGUGGCUUGAUAAGCCGGUUGGGAAAGCCCCGGGCUCAACCUGGGAACGGCAUCCAGAACUGUCAAGCUAGAGUGCAGGAGAGGAAGGUAGAAUUCCCGGUGUAGCGGUGAAAUGCGUAGAGAUCGGGAGGAAUACCAGUGGCGAAGGCGGCCUUCUGGACUGACACUGGCACUGAGGUGCGAAAGCGUGGGUAGCAAACAGGAUUAGAUACCCGAGUAGUC